Long non-coding RNA from Pan troglodytes (chimpanzee), 1189 nucleotides. RefSeq lists it as uncharacterized. The transcript is spliced from 2 exons. NCBI's taxonomy places the organism in Eukaryota, Metazoa, Chordata, Mammalia, Primates, Hominidae. The record is from RefSeq and is a predicted model, not a curated record.
CACUGUAGGGCGAGGGACAGAGGGAAGGAGGGCUGAGGACCUGCGGUAGGACCCAGGGGACAGAGGCUCCGGGGGGAGGGCCGGGAUAAAGCCACUCCAAGGUAGGUGUGUACACACAGACACACAGCGAGUGGGUCACGGUGACACUGCCUGCGGGGUACAGUGACACAUGGAGACUGCCUGACCUCAAGUAACUCUGUGGGGAGAGGGAACAGCCAGAGGACCCAGCCCCGGCGUGCCCCACUCUUGCCCUGUCCUGAGCCUCCAGGUUCAUCUCCGGCAUCUACUGGCCUCCAGGCAAGCAAGAGAAAAAGAACAGAAGUUCCCAGCGGCGGUUCUGCAACAGCUCGAGCGCGGGGGACACGCGCAGCAGACGGCCCCAGACGCCUCAAGGCUGCGCGCGAAGACACGGCGCAGGCAGACUCACAGACGGGGCUCCCCCACCCUGGACACGGCGGCAGCGAGUUGGGAAGCCCAGGAAACCCCGGGUUCCCGUCGGAAGCCUCCUGGUACCCAGUCCCCUCCCGCAGCACCAAUCUGGGGCAGGACAUGGGGCCCCGACGCCUGCGGGAACCAGGGGCUCCCCAAAAUCCCCGGGGGAGGAAUUACCUCGCAGCGGGGGACGCAACCCGUUCGGGGUGCCAGCGAGCACAGCGUCUGCCCUAACCCGGCGCCCUGGUGCUGCUCGGCAUCAGGGUGCGGGGUCCCGGGAGAGGAGCCGUCCGGGGGGCCGCGGCUCAGGGGCGCGGGGCGAUGGCAGCGGCCAUAGCGAGUCACGUGCGGAGGCUGAAACUUUACCCGGAGCCCCAGACUGAAGGGGCGGAGGGUACGGAGCAGAGGUAGGGGGAGGCCCUGUCCCUCAGGCCCGCCCCUGCCCGCCCACCGACCAAUCACCAGUCAGGGGCGGAUCUACAGGCUCACGCCCGCCCCCGCCUCUCCUUAAUAGACCUCGGGAAAGGCGAGUCUUAAAGGAGCCGCUCCUAGUUGAAGACUGGACCGUGGGAAUCCGGGAGAAUCCCUCCCUCAGACCCAGAACCGAAGAUUCAGAGCAAGAACGGGGUGAGGUUCUGCGGGAAGAAUGAAAAUAGCGCUCGGUGGAGAAGACCGCAGCGUGUGGUAUCCUACACUCCUUUCCCCCCAACCACACACACACCCACACCUAAACCUGAGAAGUGAGGCGGCGGCGUAA